UGGCAUAAAGAUGCUCUUUGGACCCGGAACCAGACUGACGGUAGAACCCGAUAAUCCAGUCCAACCGCAGUACUACCAACUGAGCAACAAUGAGACCACAGUUUGUCUGGCAACAGGAUUUACAAGACACAACCAAACCGAAGACAAUGAUGACUUCAAGGAUACCAGUGCCAGUCCGAUAAGAGAUUAUAACGGCAACCCAACAGGCUACUAUAACCAGGUGGCUUUCCCAAUAGAAGGUCAAAGUUGUAACGAAACUGAUAAUCCAGAUGAGAAAUGUACCUCCACAGUGGAUCCAGAUGAGAUGGUGAACCUGGCCUCCCUGACCAUCUUUGGCCUCAGAGUGAUCUUCAUGAAGACCGUGAUCUUCAACGUCCUGAUGACGCUGCGGCUGUGGAUCAGUCAGUAAAACGACCGGAAUGAAGGGAACUUCCCAGAAGAACGUCCUGCUGAAUGAAGUGGAGCUGCUGAAGCUUCUUUCUCUGGAAAUAAAA
Cyprinodon variegatus (sheepshead minnow) is the source of this 494-nucleotide non-coding RNA. The record is from the annotation of a RefSeq genome assembly. Lineage: Eukaryota; Metazoa; Chordata; Actinopteri; Cyprinodontiformes; Cyprinodontidae.